UUGACUUUAAUGAAGGAUGGAUCAGGCCACAAGUCACUUAGCUGCCUUCAGUUUCUUAAGACAUGCUUUUUAAUUCCUGAGAAAAGCAACAGCAUGAACCAAACAGCUUUAGCGUCUCUCAUCUUACAGUGCAUUUUGCAAGUUCUGGAAGGAAACCUGGACACAGAGAAAAAUGCUACAGCGAAAAAUGAGCCAAAACACAAGCCAUAUGACAAUGCCUAUUUCUUCAUACUCUUUGUCAUGUUGUUUUACUCUUUCCUGGCAUUAACUGUCUUUUUUGGUUAUGUUCGCUCCAAGAAAGCCAUUUCAAAGAAAGAUCCUUACCAGGAAUUCAUCGAGGAUAAGGAUCGAAGCAAGAAGUGGAACAUGACCCGGCCAGUGGUGGUGAAAUUUGACUUUGAAGAAGAAAGUAUUCUUUGAACUACUUAAACCAAAAUAUUCUGCCAAAUGCACUGGACUGUCUCUGUUGCCUACAUCUCAAAGGAAGAUCUAUGCAUUCCUCUUGAUCAGCUAUGUCCAGCACAAUAAGUCAAACCAUUGCUUAGAAAUAGGUAGUGUUAAUAUACAGUGCUACCCAGAGGCAUUCAUGAGCACAAUACUGAUUUUCAGUUGGUAUGUAGGCUCGGGUUUGUCUGAACAUGCACUAAAACUAAAGCUGAGCAAAUAAUUCUCAAUAAAUAUUUAUUUGGAGAAAUUAGUUUGCUCAUGGAGUUGCUGUGCAGAGAUGGAGAUUUCCUCAGAUUUAUCUGUUAUUCACAAUUAUUUGUCAUUUUUUUCUUUUUGUGUGCGCAGAUUUUAACUCUUUGGACUGUAAAUGAAUAGGCCUUUAUUAGUAUUAGGUAUUUAAUAAUUAAGCUAUGGUGGUUAGUUGUGAUUGGUCCAAUAUGUCACAUGAUAUUACUUCUGGAUGAGCAUGCAAACACUUCUGGUGUAAAAACUCAUAUGUGCAAAUGUAUAAAUACUCACACCUGCAAUGUUGAAAUUCGCGUUCUACAAACCUUCAUGUCAGUAAAACUAGACUGAAUAAAUGGUACACACAAAGCAAUACACUUAGUGAAUUCAUUUAAAAUUUGCAGUAUCCACCUAGCUUUAUCUGAAAUAUUUUAGAAAUAACAUUGUGUAUGAAACAUAUUAAUUUACGUAAAAGCUAUCACUAUCCUUCAUUUGCAGUAGUUUGGGGUAAAGAAAUGGAGGUCAAAGUCAUCUGUGUUUACUUCAGGCCAGCAAACUGGGACUGUGUUAAAAGAGAACUGCUGUUGCUUGGAGACUCAUAGUUAGAUCUGAACAAAUAGGGGGAAUUAUUCUACAGAACACUGAGCCCUGGAAGAUGGUUCUAUAUUUCAUUGUCUUCUCAGUAUGUGUGUAGAUAUUACUCUACGUAUUUGUUGAAAAUCUCAUCAAAUUUUUAUCUCGCUGUCAUUGUUUUAAGUUGUUUUCCCAAAAGUUCAUACUUAAAAAUUAUGGGUAACGUGCAUACUGAAAAAUUAAAGUUCCAUCGCCAAAGUGUCA
This is a long non-coding RNA of Malaclemys terrapin pileata, 1509 nucleotides long. RefSeq lists it as uncharacterized. The record is from RefSeq and is a predicted model, not a curated record. The transcript has 2 exons. Lineage: Eukaryota; Metazoa; Chordata; Testudines; Emydidae.